This 126-nucleotide ribosomal RNA is filed under the name Carlito syrichta (Philippine tarsier). Lineage: Eukaryota; Metazoa; Chordata; Mammalia; Primates; Tarsiidae. The record is from RNAcentral.
GUCUAUGGCUAUACCACCCCCGCCCCCAAAUGCGCCUGAUCUCGUCUGACUGUGGAAGCCAAGCAGGGUUGAGCCUGGUUAAUACUUGGACGGGAGACCGCCUGGGAACACCAGGUGCUGCAGGCU